RNAcentral lists this ribosomal RNA (468 nucleotides) under uncultured bacterium. RNAcentral describes it as "partial 16S ribosomal RNA". It matches the Rfam family "Bacterial small subunit ribosomal RNA", at positions 28 to 507 of the family's 1533-position model. The record is from RNAcentral.
GACGAACGCUGGCGGCGUGCUUAACACAUGCAAGUCGAACGGAAAGGCCCUGCUUUUGUGGGGUGCUCGAGUGGCGAACGGGUGAGUAACACGUGAGUAACCUGCCCUUGACUUUGGGAUAACUUCAGGAAACUGGGGCUCAUACCGGAUAGGAGCUCCUGCUGCAUGGUGGGGGUUGGAAAGUUUCGGCGGUUGGGGAUGGACUCGCGGCUUAUCAGCUUGUUGGUGGGGUAGUGGCUUACCAAGGCUUUGACGGGUAGCCGGCCUGAGAGGGUGACCGGCCACAUUGGGACUGAGAUACGGCCCAGACUCCUACGGGAGGCAGCAGUGGGGAAUAUGGCACAAUGGGCGGAGGCCUGAUGCAGCAACGCCGCGUGCGGGAUGACGGCCUUCGGGUUGUAAACCGCUUUCGCCUGUGACGAAGCGAGAGUGACGGUAAUGGGUAAAGAAGCACCGGCUAACUACGUG